Long non-coding RNA from Sarcophilus harrisii (Tasmanian devil), 1062 nucleotides. RefSeq lists it as uncharacterized. The record is from RefSeq and is a predicted model, not a curated record. NCBI's taxonomy places the organism in Eukaryota, Metazoa, Chordata, Mammalia, Dasyuromorphia, Dasyuridae. The transcript is spliced from 3 exons.
CCAUGAUCCCAUCCUGCUUAUAAAUGAAGGACACAUCCUACAUGGGUUCAGUGAAGGAAGUAAAUGUGGGACAGAUUCUCUAGUAGAUCACAGCACUCUGGAGCACUUUCUAGCUCCCAUUAAAUAGCAUCUCUCAUUGCACUUCCAAGUCUGUCAACAACUGCUAGGGAGGACUGGCAUGCCUGCUGGGGCAGAUUUCAUCCAGGCUCCACAGGGAGCUGGCUCUCCACCUGGUUCUUCCCUUUUCUUGGUCACCAGCAGGAGCUGGAGAGACAACCCCACCUUCUGGGUGAUUUCUGUAGUGGAAGAGUUCAGUCUCUGGGUCUGACAGCUCAAGGACUGACUGCCCCUUCACCAGUUUGUGAACAGAAACUGACACCAGCUGCUGCAGGCCUGGGGACCAAAUGGCCCACCCAACUCCUUCAUUCACCCAGUCCAGAUGGAGAGCUAAUCAACAAAGCUGAGCACCCAAGUCAUUAAUAAGAUGGGAUUAGCCAAGGAUGAGCGGGAUGAUUGUCAUUAGUAGUAAUGUUUUUUCAGAGUUUUAACCCGUUCAAAGAAUGUUUUUGCCCAAAUGAGAUGACUCAGCCAAUGGGGUGCACAGAUAAAACCCUUGGAUCUGCAAGAGCAGGUGGAAGAAGUCUGCUUAGGAACCACAGCAUAAGGGUGGAAAACAGCAGCAGAGCUGGACCAGUCAUACUUCAAGAUACACCCACUGAGGUUAUGAGAGUUGAAUUUGAGGGGGAGUUUUACUCACUCUACUUCAGUUUUCAGGCCUUUCUUUGAAUUGAUGAGAAUUGCUUUGUAUUUCCUGUUCCUAAUGGAGUAGCUGAGCUCCAGGAGAGCUUGUGACUUGCUGGUUUAUAGCUGUGAUAAACUCAUGCCUCAUUCCCCCUAAAAUGAAAAAAAAAAGUCACAGUGACUCUCCUUUGCUUCAGGUCUCUUUCCCUGUGAUGGCAACAACUUAUUUUGGUUAAAUUCAUCAUAAAAGAAGAAAGAAAAAUUGUAGGAGACUACUUUCCUAGUGGAGGGAAGACAGCUUAUAAUAAAAGGAGUAUUGCA